AUCCCGUACAAUCACCGAAGUUAAGCAACAUCGAGCCUGGUCAGUACCUAGAUGGGUAACCGCUUGGGAAUACCAGGUGCUGUAAG
This is a non-coding RNA of Acanthosepion pharaonis, 86 nucleotides long. Lineage: Eukaryota; Metazoa; Mollusca; Cephalopoda; Sepiida; Sepiidae. The record is from the annotation of a GenBank genome assembly.